GUCGAACGAAACACCUUAUUUGAUUUUCUUCGGAACUGAAGAUUUGGUGAUUGAGUGGCGGACGGGUGAGUAACGCGUGGGUAACCUACCCUGUACAGGGGGAUAACAGUCAGAAAUGACUGCUAAUACCGCAUAAGACCACAGCACCGCAUGGUGCAGGGGUAAAAACUCCGGUGGUACAGGAUGGACCCGCGUCUGAUUAGCUGGUUGGUGAGGUAACGGCUCACCAAGGCGACGAUCAGUAGCCGGCUUGAGAGAGUGAACGGCCACAUUGGGACUGAGACACGGCCCAAACUCCUACGGGAGGCAGCAGUGGGGAAUAUUGCACAAUGGGGGGAACCCUGAUGCAGCGACGCCGCGUGAGUGAAGAAGUAUCUCGGUAUGUAAAGCUCUAUCAGCAGGGAAGAAAAUGACGGUACCUGACUAAGAAGCCCCGGCUAACUACGUGCCAGCAGCCGCGGUAAUACGUAGGGGGCAAGCGUUAUCCGGAAUUACUGGGUGUAAAGGGUGCGUAGGUGGUAUGGCAAGUCAGAAGUGAAAACCCAGGGCUUAACUCUGGGACUGCUUUUGAAACUGUCAGACUGGAGUGCAGGAGAGGUAAGCGGAAUUCCUAGUGUAGCGGUGAAAUGCGUAGAUAUUAGGAGGAACAUCAGUGGCGAAGGCGGCUUACUGGACUGAAACUG
This 683-nucleotide ribosomal RNA is filed under the name uncultured Lachnospiraceae bacterium. Its description in RNAcentral is "bacterial SSU rRNA". It matches the Rfam family "Bacterial small subunit ribosomal RNA", at positions 61 to 742 of the family's 1533-position model. The record is from RNAcentral. Lineage: Bacteria; Bacillati; Bacillota; Clostridia; Lachnospirales; Lachnospiraceae.